Molecule: ribosomal RNA, 479 nt
Filed under: uncultured bacterium
Lineage: Bacteria
Description: bacterial SSU rRNA
Rfam family: Bacterial small subunit ribosomal RNA
Source: RNAcentral
AACUAACGCUGGCGGCGUGCCUAACACAUGCAAGUCGUACGAGAAAGUUGGCUUCGGCCGAUGAGUACAGUGGCGCACGGGUGAGUAGCGCGUGGGUAAUCUGCCCCCCGGUCAGGAAUAACCCGCCGAAAGGCGGGCUAAUACCCGAUAACACUGACGCUCCGCGGAGCGUCUUUCAAAGGAGGCCUCUGUUUACAAGCUUUCGCCGGAGGAUGAGCCCGCGUACCAUUAGCUAGUUGGCAGGGUAAUGGCCUACCAAGGCUGCGAUGGUUAGCUGGUCUGAGAGGAUGGCCAGCCACACUGGAACUGAGAGACGGUCCAAACUCCUACGGGAGGCAGCAGUGGGGAAUAUUAGGCAAUGGGGGAAACCCUGACCCAGCAACGCCGCGUGAGGGAAGAAGGUUUUCGGAUUGUAAACCUCUGUUCUUGGAGAAGAGGAGAAGACGGUAUCCAAGGAGGAAGCCCCGGCUAACUACGUG